GCCGGGUGUGGUGGCUCACGCCUGUAAUCCCAGCACUUUGGGAGGCCGAUAUGGGUGGAUCACCUGAGGUCAGGAGUUCAAGACCAGCCUGGCCAACAUGGUGAAAUCCCAUCUCUA
This is an unclassified non-coding RNA of Pongo abelii (Sumatran orangutan), 117 nucleotides long. It matches the Rfam family "Metazoan signal recognition particle RNA". Rfam says of the family: The signal recognition particle (SRP) is a universally conserved ribonucleoprotein. It is involved in the co-translational targeting of proteins to membranes. The eukaryotic SRP consists of a 300-nucleotide 7S RNA and six proteins: SRPs 72, 68, 54, 19, 14, and 9. The record is from Ensembl. NCBI's taxonomy places the organism in Eukaryota, Metazoa, Chordata, Mammalia, Primates, Hominidae.